CACAUCCCCUGCUCAGAUGGCCUGUCCUGAUUUUGCUCCUGGUGAAGUCUUGAUAUGUUGUCCAGACUAACCAUGAACUCCUAGGCUCAAGAGAUCCUUCUACCUCAGCCCUCUGAGCAAGUGACUGUGCCAGUGCACCUGCUUGAGCUAGUUAUUAUUAUUAUCUCCAUUCUAGACAAGGUCUCACUAUGUAAUUCAGGCUGGCGUUGAACUCAUUACGUAGUCCAGGCUGGGCUCAAACUUGUGGUGAUCCUCCUGCUUCAGCUUCCUGAGUACUGGGAUUACAGAUGUGCACCAUCACACCCGGCUAUCAUAAUUUUCUAUGGUAGCCCAUGCUGUAUUUCCCAGACACAACGUGUAUAUUUAUCUUUGCUCUUGCCCUCUUAUU
This is a long non-coding RNA of Heterocephalus glaber (naked mole-rat), 388 nucleotides long. NCBI's taxonomy places the organism in Eukaryota, Metazoa, Chordata, Mammalia, Rodentia, Bathyergidae. The record is from Ensembl.